This 526-nucleotide ribosomal RNA is filed under the name uncultured bacterium. RNAcentral's name for it is "bacterial SSU rRNA". It matches the Rfam family "Bacterial small subunit ribosomal RNA", at positions 355 to 897 of the family's 1533-position model. The record is from RNAcentral.
UUAGGAAUUUUGGGCAAUGGGCGAAAGCCUGACCCAGCAACGCCGCGUGGGUGAUGAAGGCCUUCGGGUCGUAAAGCCCUUUUUCAGGGGAAGAUGAUGACGGUACCCUGAGAAUAAGCCCCGGCUAACUACGUGCCAGCAGCCGCGGUAAUACGUAGGGGGCAAGCGUUGUCCGGAUUUAUUGGGCGUAAAGCGCGCGUAGGCGGCGCGGUAUGUCGUGCGUGAAAUCUCCCGGCUUAACUGGGAGGGGCCGUGCGAAACUGCCGGGCUUGAGGUCAGAAGGGGAAAGUGGAAUUCCGGGUGUAGUGGUGGAAUACGUAGAUAUCCGGAGGAACACCAGCGGCGAAGGCGGCUUUCUGGUCUGAUACUGACGCUGAGGCGCGAAAGCGUGGGGAGCGAUCCGGAUUAGAUACCCGGGUAGUCCACGCCGUAAACGAUGAGUACUAGGUGUCGGGGGUAUCGACCCCCUCGGUGCCGUCGCUAACGCAUUAAGUACUCCGCCUGGGGACUACGGCCGCAAGGCUAA